GAUGAACGCUAGCGGCGGGCUUAAUACAUGCAAGUCAAGGGGUAGCAAUACACCGGCGGACGGGUGCGUAACGCGUAUGCAACCUACCUUUAUCUGGGGGAUAACUCGGGGAAACUCGAGCUAAUACCGCAUAAGAAAGUGAACUGGCAUCAGUUAGCUUUUAAAGAUUUAUUGGAUAAAGAUGGGCAUGCGUAAGAUUAGAUAGUUGGCGGGGUAACGGCUCACCAAGUCUACGAUCUUUAGGGGCUCUGAGAGGAGAAUCCCCCACACUGGCACUGAGAUACGGGCCAGACUCCUACGGGAGGCAGCAGUAGGGAAUAUUGGGCAAUGGGCGAAAGCCUGACCCAGCCACGCCGCGUGCAGGAUGACGGCCCUCUGGGUUGUAAACUGCUUUUAACUGGGAAGAAAGAAGCCCUUGCGAGGGAAGUUGACGGUACCAGUUGAAUAAGCCACGGCUAACUACGUGCCAGCAGCCGCGGUAAUACGUAGGUGGCAAGCGUUAUCCGGAUUUAUUGGGUUUAAAGGGUGCGUAGGCGGUUUAAUAAGUCAGUGGUUAAAGGUAGCAGCUUAACUGUUUUACAUGCCACUGAUACUGUUGAACUUGAGUUGACAGAAGGCAGAUAGAAUUUCUGGUGUAGCGGUGAAAUGCUUAGAUACCAGAAGGAAUACCGAUUGCGAAGGCAGUCUGCUGCAGUCACACUGACGCUGAGGCACGAAAGUGCGGGGAUCAAACAGGAUUAGAUACCCUGGUAGUCCGCACAGUAAACGAUGAUUACUAGAUGUUGGCCAUGCCAGUGUCCAAGGGAAACCGAUAAGUAAUCCACCUGGGGAGUACGCCGGCAACGGUG
RNAcentral lists this ribosomal RNA (848 nucleotides) under uncultured bacterium. RNAcentral's name for it is "bacterial SSU rRNA". It matches the Rfam family "Bacterial small subunit ribosomal RNA", at positions 28 to 896 of the family's 1533-position model. The record is from RNAcentral.